AGAGCAUGUAACUCAGAGGAUAGAGUGCCAGAUUCCGGUUCUGGAAGUCGAGGGUUCAAGUCCUUCCUUGCUCUU
Molecule: transfer RNA, 75 nt
Filed under: Nemalion sp. H.1444
Lineage: Eukaryota; Rhodophyta; Florideophyceae; Nemaliales; Nemaliaceae
Description: tRNA-Arg
Rfam family: tRNA
About the family: Transfer RNA (tRNA) molecules are approximately 80 nucleotides in length. Their secondary structure includes four short double-helical elements and three loops (D, anti-codon, and T loops).
Source: RNAcentral